Molecule: ribosomal RNA, 2877 nt
Filed under: Burkholderia glumae LMG 2196 = ATCC 33617
Lineage: Bacteria; Pseudomonadati; Pseudomonadota; Betaproteobacteria; Burkholderiales; Burkholderiaceae
Description: bacterial LSU rRNA
Rfam family: Bacterial large subunit ribosomal RNA
Source: RNAcentral
CAAGCGAACAAGUGCAUGUGGUGGAUGCCUUGGCGAUCACAGGCGAUGAAGGACGCGGUAGCCUGCGAAAAGCUACGGGGAGCUGGCAAACGAGCUUUGAUCCGUAGAUGUCCGAAUGGGGAAACCCACUCCUUUUGGAGUAUCCAUGACUGAAUACAUAGGUCAUGUGAAGCGAACGCGGUGAACUGAAACAUCUAAGUAACCGCAGGAAAAGAAAUCAACCGAGAUUCCCAAAGUAGUGGCGAGCGAAAUGGGAAGAGCCUGUACUCUUUAUUUGUAUUGUUAGCCGAACGCUCUGGAAAGUGCGGCCAUAGCAGGUGAUAGCCCUGUAGGCGAAAACAGUAUGAAAGAACUAGGUGUACGACAAGUAGGGCGGGACACGUGAAAUCCUGUCUGAAGAUGGGGGGACCAUCCUCCAAGGCUAAAUACUCGUGAUCGACCGAUAGUGAACCAGUACCGUGAGGGAAAGGUGAAAAGAACCCCGGGAGGGGAGUGAAAUAGAUCCUGAAACCGCAUGCAUACAAACAGUCGGAGCCUCGUAAGGGGUGACGGCGUACCUUUUGUAUAAUGGGUCAGCGACUUACGUUCAGUAGCAAGCUUAACCGAAUAGGGCAGGCGUAGCGAAAGCGAGUCCGAAUAGGGCGUUCAGUUGCUGGGCGUAGACCCGAAACCAAGUGAUCUAUCCAUGGCCAGGAUGAAGGUGCGGUAACACGUACUGGAGGUCCGAACCCACUAACGUUGAAAAGUUAGGGGAUGAGCUGUGGAUAGGGGUGAAAGGCUAAACAAACUUGGAAAUAGCUGGUUCUCUCCGAAAACUAUUUAGGUAGUGCCUCGUGUCUCACCUUCGGGGGUAGAGCACUGUCAUGGUUGGGGGGUCUAUUGCAGAUUACCCCGCCAUAGCAAACUCCGAAUACCGAAGAGUGCAAUCACGGGAGACAGACAUCGGGUGCUAACGUCCGGUGUCAAGAGGGAAACAACCCAGACCGCCAGCUAAGGUCCCCAAAUAUGGCUAAGUGGGAAACGAAGUGGGAAGGCUAAAACAGUCAGGAGGUUGGCUUAGAAGCAGCCACCCUUUAAAGAAAGCGUAAUAGCUCACUGAUCGAGUCGUCCUGCGCGGAAGAUGUAACGGGGCUAAGCCAUAUACCGAAGCUGCGGAUGCGAGCUAGUCUCGCAUGGUAGGAGAGCGUUCCGUAAGCCUGCGAAGGUGCAUUGUAAAGUGUGCUGGAGGUAUCGGAAGUGCGAAUGCUGACAUGAGUAGCGAUAAAGGGGGUGAAAGGCCCCCUCGCCGUAAGCCCAAGGUUUCCUACGCAACGUUCAUCGGCGUAGGGUGAGUCGGCCCCUAAGGCGAGGCAGAAAUGCGUAGCUGAUGGGAAGCAGGUCAAUAUUCCUGCACCAUUGUUAAAUGCGAUGGGGGGACGGAUCGCGGAAGGUUGUCCGGGUGUUGGAAGUCCCGGUCGCUGCAUUGGAGAAGGCGCUUAGGCAAAUCCGGGCGCGGAAUUCAAGGGUGUGGCGCGAGCUUCUUCGGAAGCGAAGCAAUCGGAAGUGGUUCCAAGAAAAGCCUCUAAGCUUCAGUUUAACAGUGACCGUACCGCAAACCGACACAGGUGGGCGAGAUGAGUAUUCUAAGGCGCUUGAGAGAACUCGGGAGAAGGAACUCGGCAAAUUGGUACCGUAACUUCGGGAUAAGGUACGCCCCUGUAGCUUGACUGGCCUGCGCCAGAAGGGUGAAGGGGUUGCAAUAAACUGGUGGCUGCGACUGUUUAAUAAAAACACAGCACUCUGCAAACACGAAAGUGGACGUAUAGGGUGUGACGCCUGCCCGGUGCCGGAAGAUUAAAUGAUGGGGUGCAAGCUCUUGAUUGAAGUCCCGGUAAACGGCGGCCGUAACUAUAACGGUCCUAAGGUAGCGAAAUUCCUUGUCGGGUAAGUUCCGACCUGCACGAAUGGCGUAACGAUGGCCACACUGUCUCCUCCCGAGACUCAGCGAAGUUGAAGUGUUUGUGAUGAUGCAAUCUCCCCGCGGCUAGACGGAAAGACCCCAUGAACCUUUACUGUAGCUUUGCAUUGGACUUUGAACCGAUCUGUGUAGGAUAGGUGGGAGGCUAUGAAACCGGAACGCUAGUUUCGGUGGAGCCGUCCUUGAAAUACCACCCUGGUUUGUUUGAGGUUCUAACCUUGGCCCGUGAUCCGGGUCGGGGACAGUGCAUGGUAGGCAGUUUGACUGGGGCGGUCUCCUCCCAAAGUGUAACGGAGGAGUACGAAGGUACGCUAGGUACGGUCGGAAAUCGUGCUGAUAGUGCAAUGGCAUAAGCGUGCUUAACUGCGAGACCGACAAGUCGAGCAGGUGCGAAAGCAGGUCAUAGUGAUCCGGUGGUUCUGUAUGGAAGGGCCAUCGCUCAACGGAUAAAAGGUACUCUGGGGAUAACAGGCUGAUACCGCCCAAGAGUUCAUAUCGACGGCGGUGUUUGGCACCUCGAUGUCGGCUCAUCUCAUCCUGGGGCUGUAGCCGGUCCCAAGGGUAUGGCUGUUCGCCAUUUAAAGAGGUACGUGAGCUGGGUUUAAAACGUCGUGAGACAGUUUGGUCCCUAUCUGCCGUGGGCGUUGGAUAUUUGAAGGGGGCUGCUCCUAGUACGAGAGGACCGGAGUGGACGAACCUCUGGUGUACCGGUUGUCACGCCAGUGGCAUCGCCGGGUAGCUAUGUUCGGAAGAGAUAACCGCUGAAAGCAUCUAAGCGGGAAACUCGCCUUAAGAUGAGAUAUCCCCGGGGACUUGAUCCCCUUGAAGGGUCGUUCGAGACCAGGACGUUGAUAGGUCAGGUGUGUAAGCGCAGUAAUGCGUUCAGCUAACUGAUACUAAUUGCCCGUAAGGCUUGAUCC